AACGAACGCUGGCGGCGUGGCUAAGACAUGCAAGUCGAACGGACUGCUCAAUUUAUUGGACAGUUUGUGGCGUAAGGGUUAGUAACGGGUAGGUAACGUACCCUGUGCUUUGGGAUAGCGUCAGUUGCUUUUAGCAACUUUCCGAAAGGGGCGGUAAUACCAAAUAAUAUCAUUUGUCAAAAGGCGGAUGAUCAAAGAUUUAUCGGCACAGGAGCGGCCUGCCUCCUAUCAGCUUGUUGGUGAGGUAACGGCUCACCAAGGCAGCGACGGGUAGCGGGACUGAGAGGUUGGCCCGCAACAUCGGGACUGAGACACUGCCCGGACCUCCACGGAGGGCUGCAGUAACGAAUAUUGCGCAAUGGGCGAAAGCCUGACGCAGCGACGCCGCGUGUACGAGGAAGUCCUUCGGGAUGUAAAGUACUGUCAGGGGGAAGAAAGUGCGCUCCGGUGCAUUGAUCUAACCCAGAG
This 468-nucleotide ribosomal RNA is filed under the name uncultured bacterium. RNAcentral describes it as "bacterial SSU rRNA". It matches the Rfam family "Bacterial small subunit ribosomal RNA", at positions 29 to 486 of the family's 1533-position model. The record is from RNAcentral.